CACUCCUACGGGAGGCAGCAGUGAGGAAUAUUGGACAAUGGGUGGAAGCCUGAUCCAGCCAUCCCGCGUGCAGGAAGACGGCCCUAUGGGUUGUAAACUGCUUUUAUCUGGGGAUAAACCUACUUACGUGUAAGUAGCUGAAGGUACCAGAAGAAUAAGCACCGGCUAACUCCGUGCCAGCAGCCGCGGUAAUACGGAGGGUGCAAGCGUUAUCCGGAUUUAUUGGGUUUAAAGGGUCCGUAGGCGGACUGAUAAGUCAGUGGUGAAAUCCGACAGCUUAACUGUCGAACUGCCAUUGAUACUGUUAGUCUUGAGUAAGGUUGAAGUGGCCGGAAUAAGUAGUGUAGCGGUGAAAUGCAUAGAUAUUACUUAGAACACCAAUUGCGAAGGCAGGUCACUAAGUCUUAACUGACGCUGAUGGACGAAAGCGUGGGGAGCGAACAGGAUUAGAAACCCCUGUAGUCCC
RNAcentral lists this ribosomal RNA (466 nucleotides) under uncultured organism. RNAcentral's name for it is "partial 16S ribosomal RNA". It matches the Rfam family "Bacterial small subunit ribosomal RNA", at positions 334 to 797 of the family's 1533-position model. The record is from RNAcentral.